GCAGGGUGAAGGUGCAGUAACAUGCACUGGAGGCCCGAACCGUUGAGCGUUGAAAAGCUCUCGGAUGACCUGUGCCUAGGGGUGAAAGGCCAAUCAAACUUGCUGAUAGCUGGUUCUCCUCGAAAUCUAUUUAGGUAGAGCGUCGAUCGAAUACUCUUGGGGGUAGAGCACUGACUGGGCUAGGGGUCCUCACCGGAUUACCAAACCUUAUCAAACUCCGAAUACCAAGAAGUACUAAUCGGCAGACACACGGCGGGUGCUAACGUCCGUCGUGGAGAGGGAAACAACCCUGACCACCAAUUAAGGUCCCCAAAUAAUGGCUAAGUGUGAAAGGAUGUGGGAUUGCUUUGACAAUGAGGAGGUUGGCUUAGAAGCAGCCAUCCUUUAAAGAAAGCGUAACAGCUCACUCAUCAAGCGAUCCUGCGCCGAAAAUGUAACGGGGCUAAAGCCAUUUACCGAAAUUGUGGGCUCGAAAGAGCGGUAGCGGAGCGUUCCGUAAGCCUGCGAAGGUGCACUGCGAGGUGUGCUGGAGGUAUCGGAAGUGAGAAUGUUGACAUGAGUAGCGACAAAGCGGGUGAGAGACCCGCUCGCCGAAAAUCCAAGGGUUCCUGCGUAAAGCUAAUCUGCGCAGGGUUAGCCGGCCCCUAAGGCGAGGCCGAAAGGCGUAGCCGAUGGGAACCACGUUAAUAUUCGUGGGCCUGGGAGUGUGUGACGGAUUUCGAAAGUUGUCAUCCCUUAACGGAUUGGGAUGGCGGCCUGGAAGUCCCUGGAAAUAGCCCUCCCGUAUAGACCGUACCCUAAACCGACACAGGUGGAUAGGUAGAGAAUACCAAGGCGCUUGAGAGAACGAUGCUGAAGGAACUCGGCAAAUUACCUCCGUAACUUCGGGAGAAGGAGGCCUCACU
Molecule: ribosomal RNA, 905 nt
Filed under: Conticribra weissflogii
Lineage: Eukaryota; Bacillariophyta; Thalassiosirophyceae; Thalassiosirales; Thalassiosiraceae
Description: partial Bacterial large subunit ribosomal RNA
Rfam family: Bacterial large subunit ribosomal RNA
Source: RNAcentral